CGGAGGAAAAGAAACUAACAAGGAUUCCCCUAGUAACGGCGAGUGAAGAGGGAAGAGCUCAAAUUUUGAAUCUGGCGUCUCUGGCGUCCGAAUUGUAAUCUAGAGAAGUGUUUUCCGUGACGGACCGUGCACAAGUCUCCUGGAAUGGAGCGUCAUAGAGGGUGAGAAUCCCGUAUAUGGCAUGGACUCCCGUUGCUCUGUGAUACACUCUCGACGAGUCGAGUUGUUUGGGAAUGCAGCUCUAAAUGGGUGGUAAAUGCCAUCUAAAGCUAAAUAUUGGCGAGAGACCGAUAGCGAACAAGUACCGUGAGGGAAAGAUGAAAAGCACUUUGGAAAGAGAGUGAAACAGUACGUGAAAUUGUUGAAAGGGAAACGCUUGAAGUCAGUCGCGCCGUUCGGGAUUCAGCCUUGCUUCUGCUCGGUUUAAUUCCCGUUGGGUGGGUCAACAUCAGUUUCGAUCGGAGGAGAAAGGCCUGGGGACGGUAGCAGCAUUCGUGCUGUGUUAUAGCCCCUUGUUGUAUACUUCGAUUGGGACUGAGGAUCGCAGCACGCCUCUGGCCGGGGUUCGCCCACGUACGUGCUUAGGAUGUUGGCAUAAUGGCUUUAAG
RNAcentral lists this ribosomal RNA (608 nucleotides) under uncultured Sebacinaceae. RNAcentral describes it as "eukaryotic LSU rRNA". It matches the Rfam family "Eukaryotic large subunit ribosomal RNA", at positions 51 to 644 of the family's 3401-position model. The record is from RNAcentral. Lineage: Eukaryota; Fungi; Basidiomycota; Agaricomycetes; Sebacinales; Sebacinaceae.